RNAcentral lists this ribosomal RNA (253 nucleotides) under uncultured bacterium. RNAcentral's name for it is "partial 16S ribosomal RNA". It matches the Rfam family "Bacterial small subunit ribosomal RNA", at positions 524 to 776 of the family's 1533-position model. The record is from RNAcentral.
UACGUAGGUGGCAAGCGUUAUCCGGAAUUAUUGGGCGUAAAGAGCGCGCAGGUGGUUAAUUAAGUCUGAUGUGAAAGCCCACGGCUUAACUGUGGAGGGUCAUUGGAAACUGGUUGACUUGAGUGCAGAAGAGGGAAGCGGAAUUCCAUGUGUAGCGGUGAAAUGCGUAGAGAUAUGGAGGAACACCAGUGGCGAAGGCGGCUUCCUGGUCUGCAACUGACACUGAGGCGCGAAAGCGUGGGGAGCAAACAGG